Molecule: ribosomal RNA, 207 nt
Filed under: uncultured bacterium
Lineage: Bacteria
Description: partial 16S ribosomal RNA
Rfam family: Bacterial small subunit ribosomal RNA
Source: RNAcentral
CGUGUAGGCGGCGGAUUUAGUUAGGCGUGAAAGCCCCGGGCUCAACCUGGGAACUGCGCUUAAUACUGAUUUGCUAGAGUCCGGGAGAGGCGAGUGGAAUAUCCAGUGUAGAGGUGAAAUUCGUAGAUAUUGGAUGGAACACCAGUGGCGAAGGCGGCUCGCUGGACCGGAACUGACGCUGAGGCGCGAAAGCGUGGGGAGCAAACA